GAUGAACGCUGGCGGCGUGCCUAAUACAUGCAAGUCGAGCGAACAGACGAGGAGCUUGCUCCUCUGACGUUAGCGGCGGACGGGUGAGUAACACGUGGAUAACCUACCUAUAAGACUGGGAUAACUUCGGGGAACCGGAGCUAAUACCGGAUAAUAUAUUGAACCGCAUGGUUCAAUAGUGAAAGACGGUUUUGCUGUCACUUAUAGAUGGAUCCGCGCCGCAUUAGCUAGUUGGUAAGGUAACGACUUACCAAGGCAACGAUGCGUAGCCGACCUGAGAGGGUGAUCGGCCACACUGGAACUGAGACACGGUCCAGACUCCUACGGGAGGCAGCAGUAGGGAAUCUUCCGCAAUGGGCGAAAGCCUGACGGAGCAACGCCGCGUGAGUGAUGAAGGUCUUCGGAUCGUAAAACUCUGUUAUUAGGGAAGAACAAAUGUGUAAGUAACUAUGCACGUCUUGACGGUACCUAAUCAGAAAGCCACGGCUAACUACGUG
Molecule: ribosomal RNA, 497 nt
Filed under: uncultured bacterium
Lineage: Bacteria
Description: partial 16S ribosomal RNA
Rfam family: Bacterial small subunit ribosomal RNA
Source: RNAcentral